GAAGGUUUAGUUAAAUAAUAACAUUAGAAUGUCAAACUAAAAUUAUCAUAUUUAUUGAUAUCCUUCU
RNAcentral lists this transfer RNA (67 nucleotides) under Jacobsonina aliena. RNAcentral describes it as "tRNA-Asp". Lineage: Eukaryota; Metazoa; Arthropoda; Insecta; Blattodea; Blattellidae. The record is from RNAcentral.